This 291-nucleotide long non-coding RNA is filed under the name Malus domestica (apple). Its description in RNAcentral is "long non-coding RNA (MDOM_LNC015440)". Lineage: Eukaryota; Viridiplantae; Streptophyta; Magnoliopsida; Rosales; Rosaceae. The record is from RNAcentral.
AAAUCAGGAAUGAAAAUCCACGUCUAAGGUGGUAACUCAAUAUCUAAAGUCGAUUUACCAUUUUUAAGAUUUGUAAGACAAGAACGGACUUCAUUAGUAGAUCUAACUAAAUAAAAGUUACAAUUAUGUGUCUGUUAAAUUUGAGGAAAUUAAAAAAAAAAUUGAGUGGAAUUAAAAUGGACUUUUUUUAUUUAUUUUUAUUUUUUAUGAAUGAAAUAAGAAGAGAUACUGUAAAUAGGAAAAUGUUGGGGAAAAUUAUGAUUUUAGAUCAUAUUUUGUAGCUCACAUGAU